RNAcentral lists this unclassified non-coding RNA (1550 nucleotides) under Bombus terrestris (buff-tailed bumblebee). RNAcentral's name for it is "misc RNA ENSBTSG00005019605.1". Lineage: Eukaryota; Metazoa; Arthropoda; Insecta; Hymenoptera; Apidae. The record is from RNAcentral.
GAUCUAAGGGGGGGGGGGGGGGGCAAAGCUUGUUAAUCUGGAAAGAAUACAAGCAUCAAUUUCAAGCGCUUAUAGGGAAUCAAGCGGGCUUGUUAAGGUCGUAAGUUGGACAAUUAUCCCGUGUUAGGUUCGGUCAGAUUAGUCCUACACAAAAUUGAUCCAAUCAUGUGAAAACAAAUGUAUUCUGAUUUUUGUCGCAGAUAUUUCUGGUCUACGCACUCCAGUGCCCGCACAACUGAUAUUGAAACACCUGAUUUUCCCAUAUUCUACAGCGACAAAUUUCCUGAUAUUUUACAACCAUGAAGAACUCGUACUCGAAAAUACUUGCAAUGCUCAUCUGCUUGCAGAUUAUCUUUAUCACUUUCUUCCCGUUAGGGGCUGCGUCUUUAAGAGGAAACUGUACUGAUCUCGAAGGAAAAGUUGUCUCGCAUGGAAUGAUGUAUGUGCCGGGACCUUCGAUUUGCAGUCAAUGCUUCUGUUACCAUUCGGAGCCAAAAUGGUGCCAGGCUAUCUUCUGUUCACCUCCUUUGGUAAGUAUAUGCUCAUUCUAAGAGCAACCAGCUUAACACAACCAUGAGAAACUAAAGUACACCGUUAACGCUUGCAUGCUAGUCGUUAAAACACAUGCUGCGCGAAUAGGGUACACAGCGAUUCAUUUAACUCGCCUUGAAUUAGUUUUAGAAAGACAAACAUGGACAGGGAUAAUUUUUGUCACGAGCCGUUUAAUUUAAUCGUUCAUUAGAACGAAUUAAUUUACACCUGCUGAGAUCGCGAUUGAUGUGACAAAUUCGAAAUCUUCUUCCAUAUGAAUAUUUUUAAACAAGCACGUCGUAAGCUUUGUAUAUUUUUUAAUCGCAACGAAACUGUUCAGAGAAAUGCUGAAAUUAUUAAUCUAUUCCUCUGUACAUUUGACAUUUCUGUAUUAUUACUUGUGUACUGUCUGCUCUUGUUUACGUCAUCGGAAGUAAAAAUACGUUAAGCGAAUCAGCUAAUCUACUUGAGCGAUUCAAUGGCUCGGUCUUCUCUUAUGCGACUACCAAGUAAUAGAUAACUUCUUGGUUAUAUAACAUUUUAUAACAUCCAAAUUAACUUUUUUUUCUUUUUUUCCCUUUUUCUUUUUCUUUUUUUCCCUUUUUCUUUUUCUUUUUUUUCCCUUUUUCUUUUUCUUUUUUCUCCCCUUUUUCUUUUUCUUUUUUUUCCUUUCUCUUUUUCUUUUUUUUUCCUUUUUCUUUUUCUUUUUUUUUUUCGUGGAGAAAAUUCGCUCGGACACGAAGACACUUCUUAAGUGGCGUGGCAGUGAACAUCCAAAUUAAUUAUUUUUUUUCUUUUUCUUUUUUUUUCCUUUCUCUUUUUCUUUUUUUUUCUUUUUCUUUUUCUUUUUUUUUUUACGUGGGGAAAAUUCGCUCGGACACGAAGCCACUUCUUAAGUGGCGUGGUAGUGAACAUCCAAAUUAACUGUUUUUUUUCUUUUUCUUUUUUUUCCUUUCUCUUUUUCUAUUUUUUUUCCUUUUUCUUUUUCUUUUUUUUUUCCUUUCUCUUUUUCUUUUUUU